AGCUACAGGCUUAACACAUGCAAGUCGAGGGGCAGCAUGGUCUUAGCUUGCUAAGGCCGAUGGCGACCGGCGCACGGGUGAGUAACACGUAUCCAACCUGCCGUCUACUCUUGGACAGCCUUCUGAAAGGAAGAUUAAUACAAGAUGGCAUCAUGAGUCCGCAUGUUCACAUGAUUAAAGGUAUUCCGGUAGACGAUGGGGAUGCGUUUCAUUAGAUAGUAGGCGGGGUAACGGCCCACCUAGUCUUCGAUGGAUAGGGGUUCUGAGAGGAAGGUCCCCCACAUUGGAACUGAGACACGGUCCAAACUCCUACGGGAGGCAGCAGUGAGGAAUAUUGGUCAAUGGGCGAGAGCCUGAACCAGCCAAGUAGCGUGAAGGAUGACUGCCCUAUGGGUUGUAAACUUCUUUUAUAAAGGAAUAAAGUCGGGUAUGGAUACCCGUUUGCAUGUACUUUAUGAAUAAGGAUCGGCUAACUCCGUGCCAGCAGCCGCGGUAAUACGGAGGAUCCGAGCGUUAUCCGGAUUUAUUGGGUUUAAAGGGAGCGUAGAUGGAUGUUUAAGUCAGUUGUGAAAGUUUGCGGCUCAACCGUAAAAUUGCAGUUGAUACUGGAUAUCUUGAGUGCAGUUGAGGCAGGCGGAAUUCGUGGUGUAGCGGUGAAAUGCUUAGAUAUCACGAAGAACUCCGAUUGCGAAGGCAGCCUGCUAAGCUGCAACUGACAUUGAGGCUCGAAAGUGUGGGUAUCAAACAGGAUUAGAUACCCUGGUAGUCCACACGGUAAACGAUGAAUACUCGCUGUUUGCGAUAUACAGCAAGCGGCCAAGCGAAAGCGUUAAGUAUUCCACCUGGGGAGUACGCCGGCAACGGUGAAACUCAAAGGAAUUGACGGGGGCCCGCACAAGCGGAGGAACAUGUGGUUUAAUUCGAUGAUACGCGAGGAACCUUACCCGGGCUUAAAUUGCAGAUGAAUUACGGUGAAAGCCGUAAGCCGCAAGGCAUCUGUGAAGGUGCUGCAUGGUUGUCGUCAGCUCGUGCCGUGAGGUGUCGGCUUAAGUGCCAUAACGAGCGCAACCCUUGUUGUCAGUUACUAACAGGUUCCGCUGAGGACCCUGACAAGACUGCCAUCGUAAGAUGUGAGGAAGGUGGGGAUGACGUCAAAUCAGCACGGCCCUUACGUCCGGGGCUACACACGUGUUACAAUGGGGGGUACAGAGGGCCGCUACCACGCGAGUGGAUGCCAAUCUCCAAAACCUCUCUCAGUUCGGACUGGAGUCUGCAACCCGACUCCACGAAGCUGGAUUCGCUAGUAAUCGCGCAUCAGCCACGGCGCGGUGAAUACGUUCCCGGGCCUUGUACACACCGCCCGUCAAGCCAUGGGAGCCGGGGGUACCUGAAGUGCGUAACCGCGAGGAGCGCCCUAGGGUAAAACUGGUGACUGGGGCUAAGUCAUA
Molecule: ribosomal RNA, 1448 nt
Filed under: uncultured organism
Description: SSU rRNA
Rfam family: Bacterial small subunit ribosomal RNA
Source: RNAcentral